UUUUUGCCCAUGCCCCAUCAUCUGCCGCGAUCCUGGACAAGUUGGCGAUCAACAACAGGAUCCGGCCUGCGUGCAAUGGCCAGUGAAGUCUAUCCCAGUGCCUGUAUUAUUAUCAAGUCAUCACGCUGUCGUCGUCGGACUCGUCGGUUACAAAUGACGCGGCAGAUCUCUCUUAAGCUUAGAAAGAUGGUUGUGGCGCAGUGCUCUGCUACUUCGUGCCACAGGCCAUUCUCCAACUGCAGAUCUACGUGUCAGCGCGACAGUGCACUCACUCACCUUGUUUGGCCCGGUGGAAUUUGGUAUGUCACUUGAGGCGAGGAGGACUUGAGAAGGUGCGUCUGUGAACGGCCUUAGUGACGCCUCUUCAGCGCGACGGGUGGUCUCCUCAAAUAUGAGAAGGAGCUCGGGUCCUGCGGGCUCUUAACCGUCGUAGUAUUCACGCAGUGUUUUAAAAUAGUGUUUGUGUGUAUUAUGAUAACAUUUAUGUUCAAUUCAAAUGUCUAACUCUACAUAAGUAUUCAUAUCAUUUUUCAUUAGUAUGGUGCUGUUUUUGCGGUCUGAAGAAAAAACUUUAAAUAAAAUAAUUAUGUUGUCUGUA
Molecule: long non-coding RNA, 598 nt
Organism: Leguminivora glycinivorella
Lineage: Eukaryota; Metazoa; Arthropoda; Insecta; Lepidoptera; Tortricidae
Exons: 3
Source: RefSeq, a predicted model, not a curated record